AUGUUAACCACCUGCUCCCCCAACCAGCUGCCUCCCCAAACCAUGCUUCUCGAGGAGAGGAGAUGCCAGCAUCUUCAGUCAAGCAAAGACAGAGGGAGACUUGCCUGUGGUUGGAAACCACCCUCCCGGGCCCCAGGACAGUAUCACGGAAGGGGACCUAGAUCCACUGGAUCAGGAGGAGCAGAACUGACUACCGCCUUCCUGCCAGUGUCUGCUGACCAGUUCACCCACUUGCAUCACGUGUUGCAGCGCAUUGCUUCGUUACGCCUGGAGUUCCUCAAGGACGGAAAUGAAUGUUCUGGGGCUGGGUCUGUCCUUGACCGAGAUCUUGAUGGACGCCUGCCCCUCUCUAAACUCACUGUAUAUCACACAGAGAUUUGGACGUGUUUCGGGCUUGGGGUUUUCUGUUUGGUUUUUUGGGGGGAAGUGUUUUUGAUUCACCCUUGCAAAAAGAAUAUUCUAUCAGAGUUACCAGCUGGAAGGAACUAUUGCCAUCGCACUGAAGUAGAUCAAGACGUAAAAAAGAUGUUAAGAGCGGCAGCGGCUGCUACACUCAUGUUUUCUGGCUUGCUGAUAACUCUCUGAUGGUUUCCACAUCAGGAAGGACUCUGGGAUCAGGAGCCAGAGGGGUUUUUUUUGGGGGGGGGGGGGUUUGUUUUUAAUUCUUUUUUCCCCACAGCCGUUGGUCACAAGAAUUUAUGAGGAAACCAAUGAAAGAGUCGAUGGCCUCUUCCAACAACCUUAAAUGACAAGGGCGUCUGGGCCGGAAGGCCGUCUCUGACCCAGGGCGUGUGAAAGCGCUGUGCAAGCUGGUGGCUGCGACGAGGCACCACGACCACCACGUGGUCUCCUCAUCUUCUGGAAUCUUCUUUUGAGCCCGUCAGCGCUGUGGCCCUCCUUUUCCAGCACUGCCCAUGAAGCCUGCCCCACACAGCCUUGAGGCCAGAGAGACCUCAGUUUGAAGCCCAAGUGACCCCUUCCGGCUGCAUGCCCCUGUCCUUGGGACUCCCUCAGCCCUCUGGUCCUCAACUGUGACAUGGGGACAGUAACACCUACCUCUGAGGGCCUGUUCCAAGCAUUAAAUGAUGCUUUACGCAGCCUCCCUUGGGCCUUCAUUACACCAGGUGCUACGGCUAACACGAUGCUGAGGAGCUCCCGUUAUGACUCAUCGCUAAUGAACCUGACUGGUAUCCAUGGGGAUGCAGGUUUGAUCCCGGGUCUCACUCAGAGGGUUAAGGAUCCAGUGUUGCUGUGAGCUGUGGUGUAGGUCGCAGAUGUGGCUCAGAUCCCCUAUGGCUGCGGCUGCAGCUCCCAUUCAACCCCUAGCCUGGAACUUCCAUAUGCUGCGGGUGCGGCCAUAAAAAGACCAAAACAAAACAAAACAAACAAACAAAAACGCAAUGCAGAAAGUACAUGGAGAGACAGAUGAAGUAUCUGACAAACAAUAUCUGUGGCCAGUAAAUGUUUUCAUCGUAUUUGUCAUUAUUGCCUUUAUUCAGAUAGAUACACUAUUAAAGGAGCAAACGGUUGAACUGAGAGAAGCAGCAGGUUGCACCGGGUCUGCAAACCUAAAAGGAGGAGUUCC
RNAcentral lists this long non-coding RNA (1585 nucleotides) under Sus scrofa (pig). RNAcentral's name for it is "lncRNA (ENSSSCG00030055648.1)". The record is from RNAcentral. Lineage: Eukaryota; Metazoa; Chordata; Mammalia; Artiodactyla; Suidae.